AUUGGGCAUAAAGCGAGCGUAGGCGGCUUGGUAAGUUAGUUGUGAAAGCCCGAGGCUUAACCUCGAAAUUGCAGUUAACACUGUCAAUCUUGAGUACAGUAGAGGAAGGCGGAAUUCCUAGUGUAGCGGUGAAAUGCGUAGAUAUUAGGAAGAACACCAGUGGCGAAGGCAACUUACUGGACUGAAACUGACGCUGAGGCUCGAAAGCGUGGGGAGCGAACAGGAUUAGAUACCCUGGUAGUCCACGCCGUAAACGAUGAGUGCUAGGUGUCGAGGGGGAACCCUCGGCGCCGCAGCUAACGCAUUAAGCACUCCACCUGGGGAGUACGACCGCAAGGUUGAAACUUAAAUGAAUUGACGG
Molecule: ribosomal RNA, 361 nt
Filed under: bacterium
Lineage: Bacteria
Description: bacterial SSU rRNA
Rfam family: Bacterial small subunit ribosomal RNA
Source: RNAcentral